Molecule: long non-coding RNA, 1069 nt
Filed under: Numida meleagris (helmeted guineafowl)
Lineage: Eukaryota; Metazoa; Chordata; Aves; Galliformes; Numididae
Description: lncRNA (ENSNMEG00000000958.1)
Source: RNAcentral
GGUGUCUGUGGGGCAGAGGGGGCAUCUAUGGGGCCUGUUUCUAUGGGGUCUUGAUUUCUGUGGGUCGUUCUGUGGGUCUCUAUGGGGCCAGGGUGGGUCUCCGUGGGUCGCUAUGGGGCGGGGGGGGCAUCUAUGGGGCAGAGGGAGCAUCUAUGGGGCAGAGGGAGCAUCUAUGGGGCUCGUUUCUACGGGAUUUUUUUUCUGUGGGUCGUUCUGUGGGUUUCUAUGGGGCCAGGGUGGGUCUCCGUGGGUCGCUAUGGGGCAGAGGGGCAUCUAUGGGGCAGAGGGAGCGUCUAUGGGGCCCGUUAUUAUGGGUUUUUUAUCUAUGGGUCAUUUUGUGGGUCUCUAUGGGGCAGGGUGGGUCUCCGUGGGUCGCUAUGGGGCGGAGGGCGCAUCUAUGGGGCAGAGGGGGCAUCUAUGGGGCCCAUUUCUAUGGGGUUUUUCUCUGUGGGUCAUUCUGUGGGUCUCUAUGGGGCCAGGGUGGGUCUCCGUGGGUCGCUAUGGGGCAGAGCGGGCACUUGUGGGGCUGAGCCCCAUGGCGCCUCUCUGCCCCACAAGUGGAGGAGAUCCCGGAGGAGGAGGAGGAGGCGGCGGCCCCACCGCCGGCGCUGGAGGUGCCCGAGGAGCCCAGCCUGCCCCCGGAGCUCCCCCCUCCGCGGCGGCGCCGCGCCCCACGGCCGCCCCACUGGGACCCCCAAGUGCAGAUCCCGCAGCAGGAAUUCCGCCAGCAGCUGCUCGACCCCGGCGCCCGCUGCCGGCCCCUGGUGAUCCCGGAGCCGCCCCACAAGCGUCGCCGGAGCCCGGAGGAGCUCUUCCAGACCCCGAGCGCGGGCUGGCUGACCCCCGAGCUGUGGGAUCUGUGGGUCCGGGGCGCCCGCCCCACGGCGCCGGAGCUGCCCAGCGAGUUGGAGGUGAGCUGUGGGGCGCGCUGUGGGGCGCGCUUUGGGGCUGGGACCCACGGCUGCGCCCCACACAGGAGCCCAGGGAGCUGCUGGAGCCGAGCGUGGGGCUGCCGCCGUCCUCGGGUACGCUGUGGGGCGCUAUGGGGCGGCUGGGGGGGCGCUGGGGG